UUCUGCUUCUUCUUCUUUUCCUCCUCCUCCCAUUUCUUCUAUUGCUUCCCCCCUUUACCCCGUUCUUCUAUUGGUUGUGCUCAGUCCACAACAUUAGCCAUAUUAAUUGUGUGAUUGAUGAUCUUAAUUUGGAUCCUAUAUCAAGGCAUAAAUGGCGGCUUCAUUUCAUUUUCUUAUUUUGGGAAUGCAGGAUCUCAAGAA
Molecule: unclassified non-coding RNA, 201 nt
Filed under: Hevea brasiliensis (rubber tree)
Lineage: Eukaryota; Viridiplantae; Streptophyta; Magnoliopsida; Malpighiales; Euphorbiaceae
Source: RNAcentral